GUGAUCAUACUAGUACUAAUGCACCGGAUUCCCUCAGAACUCUGCAGUUAAUCGUGCCUGGGCGGGAGUAUUACUAGGAUGGGUGACCCCCUGGGAAGUCCUCGUGUCGCACCUC
This is a non-coding RNA of Rhododendron simsii, 115 nucleotides long. NCBI's taxonomy places the organism in Eukaryota, Viridiplantae, Streptophyta, Magnoliopsida, Ericales, Ericaceae. The record is from the annotation of a GenBank genome assembly.